CCUCAUUCGUUACGGCGUCUCUUGCUGACCUCCUAUGAAGCCAGUAGUGGUGGCAUUGCAUUAUGCGGUGAGGGGAAACAGAAGGCUCCGAGAAGUAAACGCUUUCGAGGUAGAGAGUGUCAUCCAGUCAUACCUCCGGCACGCAAACUGAGUGUAAUUGAAAGUUGGACGUAGUAAAUAAAAUUUGCCAGAGCACUA
Ornithodoros turicata is the source of this 198-nucleotide long non-coding RNA. RefSeq lists it as uncharacterized. The transcript has 2 exons. Lineage: Eukaryota; Metazoa; Arthropoda; Arachnida; Ixodida; Argasidae. The record is from RefSeq and is a predicted model, not a curated record.